RNAcentral lists this ribosomal RNA (253 nucleotides) under uncultured Pseudomonadota bacterium. Its description in RNAcentral is "uncultured proteobacterium partial 16S ribosomal RNA". It matches the Rfam family "Bacterial small subunit ribosomal RNA", at positions 524 to 776 of the family's 1533-position model. Lineage: Bacteria; Pseudomonadati; Pseudomonadota. The record is from RNAcentral.
UACGAAUGGAGCGAGCGUUGUUCGGAAUCACUGGGCGUAAAGGGUGCGCAGGCGGUCAUGAAAGUUAGAAGUGAAAUCCCAGGGCUUAACCUUGGAAUUGCUUUUAAAACUCCAUGACUAGAGUACUGGAGAGGUUGGCGGAAUUCCGAGUGUAGAGGUGAAAUUCGCAGAUAUUCGGAGGAACACCAAUGGCGUAGGCAGCCAACUGGACAGUAACUGACGCUCAUGCACGAAAGCGUGGGGAUCAAACAGG